GACGAACGCUGGCGGCAUGCCUAAUACAUGCAAGUCGAGCGAACAGAUGAAGUGCUUGCACUUCUGACGUUAGCGGCGAACGGGUGAGUAACACGUAAGGAAUCUACCUAUAAGCGGGGGAUAACAUUCGGAAACGGGUGCUAAUACCGCAUAAUAUCUUCUUCCGCAUGGAAGAAGAUUGAAAGACGGCUCUGCUGUCACUUAUAGAUGACCUUGCGGUGCAUUAGUUAGUUGGUGGGGUAAUGGCCUACCAAGACGAUGAUGCAUAGCCGAACUGAGAGGGUGAUCGGCCACAUUGUGACUGAGACACGGCCCAAACUCCUACGGGAGGCAGCAGUAGGGAAUCUUCCGCAAUGGGCGAAAGCCUGACGGAGCAAUGCCGCGUGAGUGAAGAAGGCCUUCGGGUCGUAAAACUCUGUUAUAAGGGAAUAACAAAUUGUAGAGUAACUGCUACAGUCUUGACGGUAUCUUAUCAGAAAGCCACGGCUAACUACGUGCCAGCAGCCGCAGUAA
Molecule: ribosomal RNA, 513 nt
Filed under: uncultured bacterium
Lineage: Bacteria
Description: partial 16S ribosomal RNA
Rfam family: Bacterial small subunit ribosomal RNA
Source: RNAcentral